AACGAACGCUGGCGGCAUGCCUAACACAUGCAAGUCGAACGAGACCUUCGGGUCUAGUGGCGCACGGGUGCGUAACGCGUGGGAACCUGCCCUUAGGUUCGGAAUAACUCCCCGAAAGGGGUGCUAAUACCGGAUAAUGUCUUCGGACCAAAGAUUUAUCGCCUUUGGAUGGGCCCGCGUUGGAUUAGCUAGUUGGUAGGGUAAAAGCCUACCAAGGCGACGAUCCAUAGCUGGUCUGAGAGGAUGAUCAGCCACACUGGGACUGAGACACGGCCCAGACUCUUACGGGAGGCAGCAGAGGGGAAUAUAGGAAAAUGGGCGAAAGGAUGAUGCAGCAAGGCCGCGUGAGUGAUGAAGGCCGUAGGGUAGUAAAGCUCUUUUACCCGGGAUGAUAAUGACGGUACCGGGAGAAUAAGCACCGGCUAACUCCGUG
This 433-nucleotide ribosomal RNA is filed under the name uncultured bacterium. RNAcentral's name for it is "partial 16S ribosomal RNA". It matches the Rfam family "Bacterial small subunit ribosomal RNA", at positions 29 to 507 of the family's 1533-position model. The record is from RNAcentral.